RNAcentral lists this ribosomal RNA (786 nucleotides) under uncultured archaeon. Its description in RNAcentral is "bacterial SSU rRNA". It matches the Rfam family "Archaeal small subunit ribosomal RNA", at positions 85 to 876 of the family's 1478-position model. The record is from RNAcentral.
ACGGCUCAGUAACACGUGGAUAACCUGCCCUAGGGGAGGGGAUAACCCCGGGAAACUGGGGAUAAUACCCUAUAGGUUACAGAUGCUGGAAUGCCCUGUAACCAAAAGCUCCGGCGCCCUAGGAUGGAUCUGCGGCCGAUUAGGUUGUUGUUGGGGUAACGGCCCAACAAGCCCGUAAUCGGUACGGGUUGUGGGAGCAAGAGCCCGGAGUUGGAUUCUGAGACACGAAUCCAGGCCCUACGGGGCGCAGCAGGCGCGAAACCUUUACAAUGCGGGCAACCGUGAUAAGGGAACCUCGAGUGCCUGUAAACGCAGGCUGUUCAGGUGUUUAAAACGCACCUGGAGAAAGGGCCGGGCAAGACCGGUGCCAGCCGCCGCGGUAAUACCGGCGGCUCGAGUGGUGGCCGCUUUUAUUGGGCUUAAAGCGUUCGUAGCUGGGUUGUUAAGUCUCUUGGGAAAUCUGGCGGCUUAACCGUCAGGCGUCUAAGGGAUACUGGCAAUCUUGGAACCGGGAGAGGUGAGGGGUACUUCGGGGGUAGGGGUGAAAUCCUGUAAUCCUCGAGGGACCACCUGUGGCGAAGGCGCCUCACCAGAACGGCUUCGACAGUGAGGGACGAAAGCUGGGGGAGCAAACCGGAUUAGAUACCCGGGUAGUCCCAGCCGUAAACGAUGCGCGUUAGGUGUAUCGGUGACCACGAGUUACCGAGGUGCCGAAGGGAAACCGUGAAACGCGCCGCCUGGGAAGUACGGUCGCAAGGCUGAAACUUAAAGGAAUUGGCGGGGGAG